CUCGUAGGCGGUUUGUCGCGUCGGGAGUGAAAUCCACUGGCUUAACUGGUGGCUUGCUUUCGAUACGGGCAGACUGGAGGUAUGCAGGGGAGAACGGAAUUCCUGGUGUAGCGGUGAAAUGCGCAGAUAUCAGGAGGAACACCGGUGGCGAAGGCGGUUCUCUGGGCAUGUCCUGACGCUGAGGAGCGAAAGUGUGGGGAGCGAACA
Molecule: ribosomal RNA, 207 nt
Filed under: uncultured bacterium
Lineage: Bacteria
Description: partial 16S ribosomal RNA
Rfam family: Bacterial small subunit ribosomal RNA
Source: RNAcentral